UACGGAGGGUGCGAGCGUUGUCCGGAAUCACUGGGCGUAAAGGGCGCGUAGGCGGCGCGGAUAGUCGGCGGUGAAAGCCCGGAGCUCAACUCCGGGUCGGCCGUCGAUACUUCCGGGCUUGAGCACUGUAGAGGCAGAUGGAAUUCCGGGUGUAGCGGUGGAAUGCGUAGAGAUCCGGAAGAACACCGGUGGCGAAGGCGGUCUGCUGGGCAGUUGCUGACACUGAGGCGCGACAGCGUGGGGAGCAAACAGG
RNAcentral lists this ribosomal RNA (253 nucleotides) under uncultured bacterium. RNAcentral describes it as "partial 16S ribosomal RNA". It matches the Rfam family "Bacterial small subunit ribosomal RNA", at positions 524 to 776 of the family's 1533-position model. The record is from RNAcentral.